Molecule: unclassified non-coding RNA, 376 nt
Filed under: Santiria apiculata
Lineage: Eukaryota; Viridiplantae; Streptophyta; Magnoliopsida; Sapindales; Burseraceae
Description: partial external transcribed spacer
Source: RNAcentral
GAGACAAGCAUAUGACUACUGGCAGGAUCAACCAGGUAGCAUUCCUUUGAGACGUCGACACCCGUAUGAGCCCCGCCAAGCUAUGAGGCUGCAGGCUCAAAAACAGGCACAACAGUCAUUCGUGUCGUUGGACAAAAUGCAUUACUUUAUUAGAUGGAGGCCUCCAGGAGACCGCUCACCUGUAACACAUAACAUUCUACAUCCGAGAGCACAAGCAAGGAAUCUCAUGGGCCAAGGCAACCACGUAACUAAGCGAGGCAUGCCAGGAACAUGAGGCUUGCCUGACGUCUACCCACUACCCUCAAGGGCACGGGGCAAAGACAAAGAAACAAACUAUCGAAUUCCUUCCCAUAGGUAAGCAACACAGGAUACCGAA